This 267-nucleotide long non-coding RNA is filed under the name Elaeis guineensis (African oil palm). RNAcentral's name for it is "long non-coding RNA (EGUI_LNC060536)". Lineage: Eukaryota; Viridiplantae; Streptophyta; Magnoliopsida; Arecales; Arecaceae. The record is from RNAcentral.
UGAUGCAUUGAUAUCGUGAUGAGAUGCCUUGCAUGCUUAUGGAGAGAGUUCUUCAUAAGUAUGCAGUGGUUGCUGCGACCUCCUGCUCGCGAUCUCGGGCCGGGGGCAUGACAUAGCAUUUAACCCGACUGACUUCAUCCGUCCACUUUUUAUAUGCUAUUCUUUUGCUCAGUAGUAAGACGGUUUGGUAAUAGUAGGGGUUUCUGAUCGAGUACAUGAUCUAAUUUUUUAGAAAUCAAGACAAUCCUGAGGUUUCUAUGCCGGUCU